This 2562-nucleotide long non-coding RNA is filed under the name Solanum tuberosum (potato). RNAcentral describes it as "long non-coding RNA (STUB_LNC005204)". Lineage: Eukaryota; Viridiplantae; Streptophyta; Magnoliopsida; Solanales; Solanaceae. The record is from RNAcentral.
AUACUUGGCUACAGUUCUAUUAAUUAAAAAUAGUAUCAGAAACAAAAUAUCUACAUCGGCAAAACAGAGGCAGUUUUUGAAAUUGCACUGUUUUAGAGACCUGAGAUGCUGGGCAUGCUGAAAAAAAUGCUUACGAGAGUACCAACACUUGGGGAAAAAGUUCUCGCAUAGAGAAAUACAAGUUCAAAGGAUUUGUUGCAUCGAUAAUACUUAAAUAUCCAAAGUGUUCUCAGAGAAUAAAAUAUAAAUGUUUUAUCAUGAAAAGGUAAAGAGUGAUGGGUACUUCUGUGUAGACAAGAAAUUUGUUUUCCACUUCCCAACCUUUCCAGAGCCUUGUUGAGUUGCAAUUCUUGCAGGUGAAUAAACAAUGACCUGAAGAAUCAAUGUUCAAAUAUCCCCGAAAAAGUUAGUCUAUCCACAGAUCCAUUAACUGACCAGCAAAAGAAGUAGGCAUAUUUGUCAAUGAACUCAAGAGGUAUGACCUAUAUAUUGCUUCAGAUGAAAAAAAAGGCUAAAUAACUAAUAUAACCAAAUGCCUAUGUUUCAUCUGGAAGAAUAAGAACAGGAAUUUCCAGUAAAUUGUGAACUCUAGAGGUAUGACCUAUAUAUUGCUUCAGAUGAAAAAAACAAAGGCUAAAUAACUAAUAUAACCAAAUGCCUAAGUUUCAUCUGGAAGAAUAAGAACAGUAAUUUCCAGUAAGCUGUUGAGAAUGGCAUGCUCGAUUCCUCAGUAUCUGCAUCUGCUUCUUUUGUCUAGAAAGGGAAGGGGAAAGUGAAGAUGAUGAGGACAUCAUCGAGGGAAAUUCAAAUUGGGGAAAAAUACAUGUGUACAGACCACAUACCCUUUAUCCCCACAAGAGAACACGUGCACUCAUCUCAGCAAAUUUGUGCAAUUUGAGUUGGAGCAAAUCUCAGUCGUAUGAUGAGAAUAAAGGACAGCUAGGAAUAGAUAAUAAAGGGUCCACUAGAGUUGGUUAAUUUGUUAUAGACUAGGCAAUAGAAUUAAGGAGCUCAUUAGCUCAUCCUCUGAAUUUAUUCACAAACAUUCAUCUCCUAUUUCUACCAUUCAGUAGAGAGCACAAACAGCCUACUUAUUUAUCUGACUAUAUGUGCAAUGUAGUUUUUCUUAUUAAUCUUAAUCUUGUUUUACAUCUUUUAUCACUCCUCCUGCGUACCCUUUUUCAACACUUUCUUCAGUUAAUCAAAAAGUUCUUAAUUUUGUUUCUACUAUGGCUGAACCAUCUACAUAUGCACAAGUUGCUAUGCACCCUGGGUGGCAGCAGGCUAUGGCAUGUGAACUUGAAGCCUUGGAGGCUUAACAAGACUUGGAAGUAGUUCAACUACCUCAAGGGAAAAAAUACUCCCCUUGUAAGUGGGUGUUCAAAAAGAAAAAAGAAAAAAAGGUAUGAUGAGAGUCUUGAAAGAUUAAAGGCAAGACUUGUUGUUAGGGAUGAUAUCCAAAGAGAAUGUGUGGAUUUCAAUGAAAGCUUCUCCCCAAUUGUGAAGAUGACCACCAUAAGAUGCAUUUUAUCUAUAGCAGUCAAAAGAGGUUGGCCUUUAUCACGAUUGGAUGUUAAUAAUGCAUUUUUACAUGGUAAAUUACAAGAAGAGGUCUAUAUGAGGUUUCCCCCGGAAUAUCUUCUCGUAGUCCUAAUCAUGUUUGAAAGCUUGGGAAAUCUCUCUAUGAUUCAAGACAUGAUUCAUGCCAAUGGUAUUCUAAGCUUACUUCUGCUCUCAAUUUCAAGGGAUUUAUUUCCUCUUUAAAUGAUUAGUCCUUAUUUUUUUUAAAGGAUGAUGAUUCAAUUUCUUAAGUUGUUGUUUAUGUGGAUGAGACAUUAUUUUGACCGGUAACAACUCAGAUGAACUCACUCUACUCAAAACAUUCCUUGAUACUGAAUUAAAUCAAGGAUCUUGGGGACUUACAUUAUUUUUUUGGGACUUGAGAUUUUAGAGCAGCCUCAUGGUCUCAUUAUUACUCGGCAGAAGUACACUUUGGAGCUCCUUUCCGAAUAUGAUUGCACCCAUCUGCCACUUGUUUCUUCACCUCUUGAUCCUACAACAAAAUUACAAGCUCAUUAUGGAGAUAAUUUGAUAGAUCCUACUUGUUAUAGACGACUUACUGGCAAAUUGAUUUACCUCACUCAUAGUCGACCAAAUAUUUGCUAUGCAGUGCAGCAUCUCUCUCAGUAUAUACAGGGUCCCUGGACAUCUCAUUUUUCAGCUGCACUGCGAGUUCUUCAAUACCUCAGGAACAAUCCCAGUCAAGGUCUGUUUCUGACAAGUGAUCUUUCUGUCAAAUUGGUUGCUUUCGCGAUGCAGAUUGGGUAUCGUGUGUCGAUUUGCGUCAAUCAGGCAGUUGAUUUUUUGUCACUCUUGGAGGCUCACCUGUUUCUUGGAAGCCAAAAAGAACAGGUUUCCAUUUCCUUAUCCUCAGCGGGAGCUGAGUAUCGCUCCAUGAGAAGAGUUGUGGCUGAUAUGACAUGGCUCAAUUGUCUUCUUAUUGAUAUGGGAUCUCCGACUCUGAUUUACUCCGAUAGCCACUUCGUACGGAAAACAAUUCCU